GGAGAAAUUCAAUAUUGCCGNUUNAAAAGCAAUGUGCACUUUUCUCUUAGUAAGACGCUGUGAUCCAUUAGAAAUUNGAUCAUUCCAAUGAUUAAUGGGCUAUCAAUAGGUCGAUGUGAAGUUCAUUGGNUACAAAUAAUUGNAAUCUUUANAUGGUUUUAUAUAUUGUCCAGUCGAGCAUAUUGAUACCUGUANNAUAGCUGUCUGAUGGAUUUUAAAGGUCAUAUUAUUAAUGNNUCUUGUGCAUUACCCAUUUCGAUGGGNAAUNGGAUANUGUACCCGAUCAACAGCGGUUAAAUUUGGGAUACCUUUUGGACCCGUCUUGAAACACGGACCAAGGAGUCUAUCUAGUAUGCAAGUAAAUGGGCAUAUNNGAAACCUAUUUGCAUAAAAAACUUGACUGNUUUAUGGGAUUACGAGUUCAUUNNNNAUCAAAAUGNNGCUCCUCCAUCCCGGGGUAUUUUUAUCAACAUAUACAGUCAAAUGUAUAUGGAAAAUAUACCAUGAGCAUACUGGAUAUGACCCGAAAGAUGGUGAACUAUGCCUGAUCAGGUUGAAGUCAGGGGAAACCCUGAUGGAGGACCGAAGCAAUUCUGACGUGCAAAUCGAUUGUCAGAAUUGGGCAUAGGGGCGAAAGACCAAUCGAACCAUCUA
Molecule: ribosomal RNA, 654 nt
Filed under: Kaniwhaniwhanus chapmani
Lineage: Eukaryota; Metazoa; Arthropoda; Insecta; Diptera; Chironomidae
Description: partial 28S large subunit ribosomal RNA
Rfam family: Eukaryotic large subunit ribosomal RNA
Source: RNAcentral